RNAcentral lists this ribosomal RNA (253 nucleotides) under uncultured bacterium. RNAcentral's name for it is "partial 16S ribosomal RNA". It matches the Rfam family "Bacterial small subunit ribosomal RNA", at positions 524 to 776 of the family's 1533-position model. The record is from RNAcentral.
UACGAAGGGGGCUAGCGUUGUUCGGAGUUACUGGGCGUAAAGGGCGCGUAGGCGGCGCAUCAAGUCAGGCGUGAAAGCCCUGGGCUCAACCCGGGAAUUGCGCUUGAGACUGGUGUGCUAGAGUACGGGAGAGGAUAGUGGAAUUCCCAGUGUAGAGGUGAAAUUCGUAGAUAUUGGGAAGAACACCGGUGGCGAAGGCGGCUAUCUGGACCGUAACUGACGCUGAGGCGCGAAAGCGUGGGGAGCAAACAGG